GGUCUCUGAAAACAACAGUAACUGGAGUUGAGAUGUUCAAGAGAUUUUGGACCAAGGACAAGCUGGUGACAAUGUUGGUCUUCUUCUCCGUGGUCUGAAGCGUGAAGAUAUUCAACGUGGUCAGGUGAUUGCAAAGCCAGUUC
Vigna unguiculata (cowpea) is the source of this 143-nucleotide long non-coding RNA. The record is from RefSeq and is a predicted model, not a curated record. NCBI's taxonomy places the organism in Eukaryota, Viridiplantae, Streptophyta, Magnoliopsida, Fabales, Fabaceae.